GAUCAUGGCUCAGAUUGAACGCUGGCGGCGUGCUUAACACAUGCAAGUCGCGCGUGAAAGGACUUCGGUCCGAGUAAAGCGGCGCACGGGUGAGUAACGCGUGGAUGAUCUACCCAUGAGUUAGGAAUAACGGCUGGAAACGGUCGCUAAUACCAAAUACGCUCCGAUUUCAACUUCGGGGGAAAGGUGGCCUCUGCUUGCAAGCUACUGCUCAUGGAUGAGUCCGCGUCCCAUUAGCUAGUUGGUGGGGUAACGGCCCACCAAGGCGACGAUGGGUAGCCGGUCUGAGAGGAUGACCGGCCACACUGGGACUGGAACACGGCCCAGACUCCUACGGGAGGCAGCAGUGGGGAAUAUUGCGCAAUGGGCGAAAGCCUGGCGCAGCGACGCCGCGUGAGGGAAUGAAGGUCCUCGGAUCGUAAACCUCUGUCAGGAGGGAAGAACCGCCACGGUGCUAAUCAGCCGUGGUCUGACGGUACCUCCAAAGGAAGCACCGGCUAACUCCGUGCCAGCCGCCGC
Molecule: ribosomal RNA, 519 nt
Filed under: uncultured bacterium
Lineage: Bacteria
Description: bacterial SSU rRNA
Rfam family: Bacterial small subunit ribosomal RNA
Source: RNAcentral